RNAcentral lists this ribosomal RNA (253 nucleotides) under uncultured bacterium. Its description in RNAcentral is "partial 16S ribosomal RNA". It matches the Rfam family "Bacterial small subunit ribosomal RNA", at positions 524 to 776 of the family's 1533-position model. The record is from RNAcentral.
UACGGGGGGGGCAAGCGUUGUUCGGAAUUACUGGGCGUAAAGAGCUCGUAGGCGGCUUGUCACGUCGAUUGUGAAAGCCCGAGGCUUAACCUCGGGUCUGCAGUCGAUACGGGCUAGCUAGAGUGUGGUAGGGGAGAUCGGAAUUCCUGGUGUAGCGGUGAAAUGCGCAGAUAUCAGGAGGAACACCGGUGGCGAAGGCGGAUCUCUGGGCCAUUACUGACGCUGAGGAGCGAAAGCGUGGGGAGCGAACAGG